This 318-nucleotide long non-coding RNA is filed under the name Sorghum bicolor (sorghum). RNAcentral's name for it is "long non-coding RNA (SBIC_LNC011513)". The record is from RNAcentral. Lineage: Eukaryota; Viridiplantae; Streptophyta; Magnoliopsida; Poales; Poaceae.
GCGUGCACCUUGGCGCGGAUGCUCUCGAUGAGCUGCAGCGCCCGUGGCUGUAGAGAAGCAUUGGGACCAAAGGCCUUCUCGCCGUCCAGAAGGAUGGACGCGUCGCACCCCUAUAGUUUUAUAUAUAUAUAUAUAUAUAUAUAUAUAUAUAUAUAUAUAUAUAUCGUUACAUAUAUAGUACUGUACAUGCAUGAUACAUGCAUACAGAAGAUAUGAGGUACCUGCGGGAGGCAGUCAUGGAAGAAGAUGCGGAGGAGGCCGGCGGUGACUUGGACGUCCUGGCCUCGCUCGGCCUGCACGGCGGCGCGCACGAUGCCC